CCUACGGGAGGCAGCAGUGAGGAAUUUUCCGCAAUGGGCGAAAGCCUGACGGAGCAAUGCCGCGUGGAGGAGGAAGGCCUGUGGGUCGUAAACUCCUUUUCUCAGAGAAGAAGUUCUGACGGUAUCUGAGGAAUAAGCAUCGGCUAACUCUGUGCCAGCAGCCGCGGUAAUACAGGGGAUGCAAGCGUUAUCCGGAAUUAUUGGGCGUAAAGCGUCCUGAGGUGGCUUACCCAGUCGACUGUGAAAGCUCAAGGCUUAACCUUGAAACGGCAGUCGAAACUUGUAAGCUUGAGUACGGUAGGGGCAGAGGGAAUUCCCGGAGGAGAGGUGAAAUUCGUAGAUAUCGGGAGGAAGGCCAAAGGCGAAAGCACUCUGCUGGGCCGAUUACUGACACUGACAGACGAAAGCUAGGGGAGCGAAAGGGAUUAGAUACCCGUGUAGUCCUAGCCGUAAACGAUGGAUACUAAGUGUUGCGCGACUCAAACGUGCAGUGCUGCAGCUAACGCGGUAAGUAUCCCGCCUGGGGAGUAGUGCCCGNAAGGGUGAAACUCAAAGGUAAUUGACGGUUNGAGAGNGCGAGCGACGACGAGGGAGAG
Molecule: ribosomal RNA, 596 nt
Filed under: uncultured bacterium
Lineage: Bacteria
Description: bacterial SSU rRNA
Rfam family: Bacterial small subunit ribosomal RNA
Source: RNAcentral